This 544-nucleotide ribosomal RNA is filed under the name Salmonella enterica. RNAcentral's name for it is "partial 23S ribosomal RNA". It matches the Rfam family "Bacterial large subunit ribosomal RNA", at positions 711 to 1252 of the family's 2925-position model. Lineage: Bacteria; Pseudomonadati; Pseudomonadota; Gammaproteobacteria; Enterobacterales; Enterobacteriaceae. RNAcentral also lists the same sequence under 2 other names. The record is from RNAcentral.
AGACCCGAAACCCGGUGAUCUAGCCAUGGGCAGGUUGAAGGUUGGGUAACACUAACUGGAGGACCGAACCGACUAAUGUUGAAAAAUUAGCGGAUGACCUGUGGCUGGGGGUGAAAGGCCAAUCAAACCGGGAGAUAGCUGGUUCUCCCCGAAAGCUAUUUAGGUAGCGCCUCGUGAAUUCAUCUCCGGGGGUAGAGCACUGUUUCGGCUAGGGGGCCAUCCCGGCUUACCAACCCGAUGCAAACUGCGAAUACCGGAGAAUGUUAUCACGGGAGACACACGGCGGGUGCUAACGUCCGUCGUGAAGAGGGAAACAACCCAGACCGCCAGCUAAGGUCCCAAAGUCAUGGUUAAGUGGGAAACGAUGUGGGAAGGCCCAGACAGCCAGGAUGUUGGCUUAGAAGCAGCCAUCAUUUAAAGAAAGCGUAAUAGCUCACUGGUCGAGUCGGCCUGCGCGGAAGAUGUAACGGGGCUAAACCAUGCACCGAAGCUGCGGCAGCGACGCUUAUGCGUUGUUGGGUAGGGGAGCGUUCUGUAAGCCUGU